AUGCUAAAUGGGAUUUCCUGUAUUUCAACCUGUGCCCACUGCCUCUUGUGCUUUCGUUGGGCACCACUGACAGGAAGGCUCUGUCUUCUCUUCCCCACCCAAAGUCACCCUUCUCUGAGGCUCAAGCCGUCACCACUCACUCAGGUUCCUUCAUACCACAGAGCCUCAACAGCCUCAGCUGCUUGGGGGGUUCUCCCUGCCACAGCUGUGUGUUUUGUCAUUGUGGAGAGCACAGGUCAGGGUGCAGUGCCAGGUGCCAUCUGUCCCCAGGAGGGAGUCAGCUUGCUGGUGACCUGUCUCCUCACCCAUCCUGGGAGACUGUUGGCUGCUACCUGGGCUUUCCUACACUCUCCACCUGGGCAGGCAGGCAGUGCUGGGCAGCCCACCCUUUGGGCUGGGAAGAUGUUGAAAAGAAGCAAUUCCUGUGCUUUCUCCCUGGGCAGAACCUCGAACUGGACCAAGGCAGGUGCCUGCGGGGGGAACAGGAGAAGCUCCUGGGUGUGUGAGCUGUAUUUUGACAGGAUUCAUGAUAUCUACUGGGCACGGGUGAGAGUGGUGGCCGGAGGUGAGCAGUCCGAGUGGGCCAGUUCCAGCGAGCUGCAGCUGUACAGAGACACAAUUAUUGGCCCCCCCAAGUUGUCCUGGCUGCUCCAGGAUCAAAUCCUCAGCAUAAAAAUCAUCACACCACUCACUCCCUACAAGAAAAGAACUGGUUCCUACAAGCCAGUCGACCGAGUGCUGCUGAAGCUGUGGUACUGGCUGCACCUGUACGAGGAGGACCUGCUUGUCCAGCAGGUGCCCUGCAAACGGAGCAGUGAGAAAGUGCCUUGCACCUUUGGGCACCUGAAGCCCAGCACACAGUACUGUGUCCGGACGGUGGCUGCAGACAUUGCCAGGGAGCGGAGCCGGGAGGCUGAGCGGUGCCUGGUGACUCCAGCAGGCCCUGCAGGCUUUCCAUGGGUCCUUGCCGUGCUGAGCGCCUUCUUCCUGCUGCUGCUGCUAAGUGUGGCCGGGCUGUGCUUCAUUCAGCUGCACGUGUUCCCCAGUCCUCCAGAGAUCUGCCUCCCAAAAGCACUGAAGCUGCAGCCAGGAACACCUGCAGGAGAGUCCCGGCACGGCUGGCCACAGGAUCCGGCUCAGCUCCGUGAAGCUCCCGGCUGGGGAGGAGCAGGAGGAGCAGGAGCAGAAGGGGCAGCAGGAGGAGGAGGAGGAGCAGGAGGAGCAGAAGGAGGAGCAGCAGCAGGAGGAGGAGGAGAAGGAGCAGGAGGAGGAGGAGAAGGAGCAGGAGGAGCAGCAGCAGCAGGAGCAGGAGGAGCAGCAGCAGGAGGAGGAGGAGGAGGAGCAGCAGCAGCAGCAGCAGGAGGAGCAGCAGGAGGAGCAGGCUGAGGCAGGGCAGCUCCUCCGCGCCCCCCAAGCCCCGCUCGGCGGCGGGCCCGGCCCGGAGCGCGGUGGCAGCGCAGUGCAGCGAGGCUGCUCGGGGCAGGGAGAACCGUGUGCCUCCAGCCCCUGGCAGCCCCGCUCGCCCCUGCGGGCACCUGCCUGCUCCGGCUACGAGCCGCGGGCCCCCCUGGCAGCUGGGCACGGCGGGUGGGGGCACCCCGAGCGCCCCCCGCUCCCGGAGCCGCCCGGCCAGCGCUGGCUCCUGUCCCCAGCGGCUGCUCCCACGGACAGCCACACGCGUGGGCCACAGCUUUCCGCUGGGGUUUUGGUGCCCUUGAGACACAGCAGAAGGAGCAUGGACCAAAGCUGAACCUCCAAAACUCUUACCUAUUUAUCUGCCUGUGUGUGUGCAUGCACAGUAUAGUAUCUAUACUAGUGUAACAUAUAUAUUUAUAAAGCUCUUUAAUGAAAAAAUGUUGGGGUUCUUACUUCAGUAGUAAUGUUGAUUAUGUGCUAGAGUUUUGGUUUUUUUUUAAAAUAUCAGUAAUUUAUUACAGAAAUCUGGCUUCUGUACUCAUUGUUUGUGUGUUACAGACCCAUCAUGGCCCUUCCCUGUGCAGCAGUCGGGAAAGGCACUGGGUAAACUUGGCAUUUUCCUGGCAGAAAAUUGCACCCUUAAUCUCUGUCUUGCUCUCCUGUGGGAAAAGACUGGUUUUGAGCACCAUGGGAUGCAUUCAUUAUUCCUGCUGCUAGCAGGAAUCCUGGUGUGAUUUAUGGCUGAGGAGCCCUGCCCUGCAGUAGUCCCUCAGGAUGUAUUUUGAGGCUGUGCCUGAAGCCACAGAGGUCAGGGGAAACCUCCUUGUGCUGUGUUGCAAGCUGGGAUCAGUGGAGUCAAAAUGCAGUGACAAAUCCAGGCUCUUGGACUCACAAGAAUUACUCUGGAUCUGAGAACAGGUGAGAAACUGGUGUCUUAUGUCCAGGCAGCUGCUGGAGGGGAUGGAGGUAC
Molecule: long non-coding RNA, 2386 nt
Organism: Parus major (Great Tit)
Lineage: Eukaryota; Metazoa; Chordata; Aves; Passeriformes; Paridae
Source: Ensembl